Molecule: long non-coding RNA, 1069 nt
Filed under: Androctonus crassicauda
Lineage: Eukaryota; Metazoa; Arthropoda; Arachnida; Scorpiones; Buthidae
Source: RNAcentral
AUUCGGUUCUUUAAAUUUAUGUCAUUUUUCAGAAAAAUCUCUCUCUGUAACAAUCAAAACAUCUUGUUUUUGAAUUCCCCAAGUUGUACUCGUCUAUAUCCGAUUUUUGAAGUGGCGUAUCUCCUUUAAUUAGAGAUUUAAAACCAGAAAUAUUUUCCCCAAAAUUCGACUGGUGGUGGUGGUUAUUAUAUCUUCGAAUUUUUUUAUUUUCCUCCUCAAAGUUUUCGUGGUUAACACACACUUUUUUUUCCUUGGUAGAAUCGAUACGGUUACACUUCAGAUUUCGAUAGCCUAGCGACAUUGUUUCUGCUGGCCAUCAGCAGCAUGAUCCGGAAUCAAUUUCCAUUUUUAUACAUUCUUUUUUUUUUUUUUACUAUUAUUAUUAUCCUUCUAGUUCUCUUACUACAGAAUUCAAGCCCGACAACAGCGUGAAAACAAUAUUAUGCAGUUUAAACGGCUGAAAGACAAACCAGCUACCGAGUUUAUGCAUGCCAUGCCAAACAAAGUUUAAAUACCGUGGCACGUUGAAAAUCUCUGUUUCUCUCUCUAGCAAAAGUUCCAGGUUCGAACUUUAAUGAAAACAUAUGGUUGGUUAGGAAAAAAAAAAAAGAACGUUUGGCUUUAAUGCAUAAAAAUUGAAUUAAAAGUACAUUAUGCGCAGAAAAUGUUAAGUCUUCUUAUUCGGGUGCCAUUAAUUGAUAAGCUAUACUUCAGAUACCGCUUGUGAUAUAAUUAAAUAACGUCUCAGUUUAACGAUACGGCGAAAGAUACUUAAAUAAAUUUUCGUCGCGUUAUAACGCAUUUUUCUUAGCGUUUUAUUGCUUUAAUGGACAAUAAUUUCACUCGAAUUACCGUUUGUUUUGUUCGUGUAUUUUUCGUUGCCAGAGUUUUCGGAAGAAUCGGAAAAAUACGUCGAAGAGAAAUCGUUUUUUUUUUCUUUUUUUUUCCUUACCCCUUCUCUCCUCCUCCACCGCGUCACAGAUGGCAAAAAAUAAACACAGUAAAAACUGCAGUUAAAAACUUUAUUAAUAAUUUAUCACUCGAAACUUUUAUUCGUUUUUGGUCGGCC